Small nucleolar RNA from Medicago truncatula (barrel medic), 112 nucleotides. It matches the Rfam family "Small nucleolar RNA Z152/R70/R12/". Rfam says of the family: Z152 is a member of the C/D class of snoRNA which contain the C (UGAUGA) and D (CUGA) box motifs. The record is from Rfam. Lineage: Eukaryota; Viridiplantae; Streptophyta; Magnoliopsida; Fabales; Fabaceae.
GGUGCGAUGAUGAGAUUAAAACACCAAGGAAGUGUUUGUGGGCAGUGGACAUAAUUAUAAUGGUUUUGCCGUGAGCCUAUUUUUAAAACGACUUCUCCUUCCACUGAGCACC